This 432-nucleotide ribosomal RNA is filed under the name uncultured bacterium. RNAcentral describes it as "partial 16S ribosomal RNA". It matches the Rfam family "Bacterial small subunit ribosomal RNA", at positions 29 to 506 of the family's 1533-position model. The record is from RNAcentral.
AACGAACGCUGGCGGCAUGCCUAACACAUGCAAGUCGAACGAGACCUUCGGGUCUAGUGGCGCACGGGUGCGUAACGCGUGGGAACCUGCCCUUAGGUUCGGAAUAAAUCCCCGAAAGGGGUGCUAAUACCGGAUAAUGUCUUCGGACCAAAGAUUUAUCGCCGUGGGAUGGGCCCGCGUUGGAUUAGCUAGUUGGUAGGGUAAAAGCCUACCAAGGCGACGAUCCAUAGCUGGUCUGAGAGGAUGAUCAGCCACACUGGGACUGAGACACGGCCCAGACUCCUACGGGCGGCAGCAGUGGGGAAUAUUGGACAAGGGGCGAAAGCCUGAUCCAGCAAUGCCGCGUGAGUGAUGAAGGCCUUAGGGUUGUAAAGCUCUUUUACCCGGGAUGAUAAUGACAGUACCGGGAGAAUAAGCUCCGGCUAACUCCGU